Molecule: ribosomal RNA, 329 nt
Filed under: Biscogniauxia sp. genotype 470
Lineage: Eukaryota; Fungi; Ascomycota; Sordariomycetes; Xylariales; Xylariaceae
Description: eukaryotic LSU rRNA
Rfam family: Eukaryotic large subunit ribosomal RNA
Source: RNAcentral
GCAACAGUUCAAAUUGGCCUUGGGGUCCGAGUUGUAAUUUGCAGAGGAUGCUUUUGGCGCGGUGCCUUCCGAGUUCCCUGGAACGGGACGCCUUAGAGGGUGAGAGCCCCGUACGGUUGGACACCAAGCCUGUGUAAAGCUCCUUCGACGAGUCGAGUAGUUUGGGAAUGCUGCUCUAAAUGGGAGGUAAAUUUCUUCUAAAGCUAAAUACCGGCCAGAGACCGAUAGCGCACAAGUAGAGUGAUCGAAAGAUGAAAAGCACUUUGAAAAGAGGGUUAAAUAGCACGUGAAAUUGUUGAAAGGGAAGCGUUUACGGCCAGACCUUUUCC